AGAGCAUGGCUGAGAUUGAUUAUAGCUUGCAGAAGCUGCUCAAGAAGCUGAAGGACUACAAAGGUGAGCUUUGCUAGUGAAAUGGUAAAAGACAACAGUGAUCUUUUUCUUUCUCCAGAUCCUAGCUGGCCUUCUUGCUUCCUUGUUUCUAACCCAAUGGCUUUCUUUCUCCACGCACACUUUCCCUCAGCAUUGGUUGAGAAAUGGUGUUUUAUUAAAUGAAAUGGGAGCUAAUCUCCACGAUCCUGGAAGAUGCAAGUCUAAUAUGAACUAAAAGCUGAUUUCGACUUCUCUUCGACAUGGCAACCAAGAAAGUACUUGAUCUAGUUCAUGUAUUUGGCUGGUUUCCACCAUAAGCUUAGAAGAAGGAAUGUUCGAUUUAAGGUUUCGGUUGUUGUUCAGAGGCAAGGUGCGGAAGGGAAGAUACCAAUGGUUCAGUGCUCAAUGCCUUGUCAAAGAAGGAGCCGAAAUUCCAGUCAAGCUGGUUGAUCCGACACCUAAUGUGAAUUACGGAUGUGUAUACGAUGGUAACUCCAUUCUACCAUAGCACAUCCCGUUUAAUAACAACUUCUGGAAGAUCAGAGCCGGUGUAAUGUAUUAGUUUAGUUGUGAAUUUGUCCUCUUUUCAUACCAUUUUUGUUGUCUUGCAUCAUUAAUAUUCUUGGUUUGAUCUCUGAUGAAUCUUGUGGUCCC
RNAcentral lists this long non-coding RNA (693 nucleotides) under Daucus carota (carrot). RNAcentral describes it as "long non-coding RNA (DCAR_LNC000311)". Lineage: Eukaryota; Viridiplantae; Streptophyta; Magnoliopsida; Apiales; Apiaceae. The record is from RNAcentral.